Long non-coding RNA from Diabrotica virgifera virgifera (western corn rootworm), 158 nucleotides. RefSeq lists it as uncharacterized. The record is from RefSeq and is a predicted model, not a curated record. The transcript is spliced from 2 exons. Lineage: Eukaryota; Metazoa; Arthropoda; Insecta; Coleoptera; Chrysomelidae.
AUCAUUGUGUGUAAACGGUGCAUCGCACAACUUAUCAAAGUUGGAGUUGGGUUGAAGGUGGUAUCGCAUUGAAUCGCAGCGUCUAAACAGCGUUUCAACUUAUCAUCACAACUAGUUGCUGUGACUUAUCGUUGUGUUUAAACGACGCUUAAAGGAUC